AGAGUUUGAUCCUGGCUCAGAAUCAACGCUGGCGGCGCGCUUAACACAUGCAAGUCGCACGAGAAAGUGGAGCAAUCCAUGAGUACAGUGGCGUACGGGUGAGUAACACGUGGAUCAUCUACCUUCUAGUGGGGAAUACCCCCGGGAAACUGGGGACAAUACCGCAUAAGCUCGUAAGAGGAAAGCAGCAAUGCGCUGGAAGAGGAGUCCGCGGCUGAUUAGCUAGUUGGCGGGGUAACGGCCCACCAAGGCGAAGAUCGGUAGCCGGCCUGAGAGGGCACACGGCCACACUGGCACUGAAACACGGGCCAGACUCCUACGGGAGGCAGCAGUGGGGAAUCUUGCACAAUGGAGGAAACUCUGAUGCAGCGACGCCGCGUGAGCGAUGAAGCCCUUCGGGGUG
This 403-nucleotide ribosomal RNA is filed under the name uncultured bacterium. RNAcentral's name for it is "bacterial SSU rRNA". It matches the Rfam family "Bacterial small subunit ribosomal RNA", at positions 8 to 425 of the family's 1533-position model. The record is from RNAcentral.